RNAcentral lists this ribosomal RNA (492 nucleotides) under uncultured bacterium. RNAcentral describes it as "partial 16S ribosomal RNA". It matches the Rfam family "Bacterial small subunit ribosomal RNA", at positions 29 to 507 of the family's 1533-position model. The record is from RNAcentral.
AGUGAACGCUGGCGGUAGGCCUAACACAUGCAAGUCGAACGGCAGCACAGUAAGAGCUUGCUCUUACGGGUGGCGAGUGGCGGACGGGUGAGGAAUACAUCGGAAUCUACUUUUUCGUGGGGGAUAACGUGGGGAAACUUACGCUAAUACCGCAUACGACCUACGGGUGAAAGAAGGGGAUCUUCGGACCUUGCGCGAUUGAAGGAGCCGAUGUCGGAUUAGCUAGUUGGCGGGGUAAAGGCCCACCAAGGCGACGAUCCGUAGCUGGUCUGAGAGGAUGAUCAGCCACACUGGAACUGAGACACGGUCCAGACUCCUACGGGAGGCAGCAGUGGGGAAUAUUGGACAAUGGGCGCAAGCCUGAUCCAGCCAUACCGCGUGGGUGAAGAAGGCCUUCGGGUUGUAAAGCCCUUUUGUUGGGAAAGAAAAGCAGCAGGUUAAUACCCCGCUGUUCUGACGGUACCCAAAGAAUAAGCACCGGCUAACUUCGUG